Molecule: ribosomal RNA, 434 nt
Filed under: uncultured bacterium
Lineage: Bacteria
Description: partial 16S ribosomal RNA
Rfam family: Bacterial small subunit ribosomal RNA
Source: RNAcentral
AGCGAACGCUGGCGGCAGGCCUAACACAUGCAAGUCGAACGAACCUUUCGGGGUUAGUGGCGGACGGGUGAGUAACACGUGGGAACGUGCCUUUAGGUUCGGAAUAACUCAGGGAAACUUGUGCUAAUACCGAAUGUGCCCUUCGGGGGAAAGAUUUAUCGCCUUUAGAGCGGCCCGCGUCUGAUUAGCUAGUUGGUUGAGGUAAUGGCUCACCAAGGCGACGAUCAGUAGCUGGUCUGAGAGGAUGAUCAGCCACAUUGGGACUGAGACACGGCCCAAACUCCUACGGGAGGCAGCAGAGGGGAAUCUUGCGCAAUGGGCGAAAGCCUGACGCAGCCAUGCCGCGUGAAUGAUGAAGGUCUUAGGAUUGUAAAAUUCUUUCACCGGGGACGAUAAUGACGGUACCCGGAGAAGAAGCCCCGGCUAACUUCGUG